This 62-nucleotide transfer RNA is filed under the name Marmota monax (woodchuck). RNAcentral's name for it is "tRNA.Ala". The record is from RNAcentral. Lineage: Eukaryota; Metazoa; Chordata; Mammalia; Rodentia; Sciuridae.
GGGGCUAUAGCUCAGUGGUAGAGCGCUUGCCUAGCAUGCACUGGGUUCAAUCCUCAGCAUCA